AUGGGAUUCCGGCGUAAUCUCUUUGCUGAGUUAUCUGAUCAGUGGGCUAAUGUGGUGGAUGGGGCUAAAAAGCUACCUUUGAAUGAUUCACCUGAUCAAGUUGUUUGGAAGUUUAAUAGCAAAGGAGAUUUUACAACAAAAUCUGUUUACGAGUGGUUAGAAAAAGAUUUAUCAGGACCUGAUUACAAGUGGAUCUGGAAAGCUAAGAUUCCUCUGAAGAUCAAAAUCUUCCUUUGGAAACUUUUUCAAAAUGCCAUCCCUACCAGGGACAACCUGCGUAAAAGAAAAUGGCCAGGGAAUCCAAUUUGUUCGUUCUGCCAUGAUAUUGAAACUGCUGAUCACCUUUUCUUUGGGUGUGUGUUUGCCCGUUCUAUUUGGGGGGUGAUUGGGGCUGCUUUGGGAACAUCCUGUACUCCUAAAACUAUUUGGCAGAGCUGGGCAUGGCUCUAUAAAUAUCUUCCUGGGGGCAAAAAGCAUUACAUGACUAUGGUUGCUGCUAUAUGUCGGGGUAUUUGGUGCACCCGUAACAAGGCAACCUUCGAUAACUGUAUCAUUCGCUCUUCGUUGGAGGCUGUUUUCACUGUGUGUUCCUUUUUGAUGUAUUGGUCAGGUCUUCUGAAAGGGAUUGACAAGGAAAGAGUCCAGGCUGGAGUACAGAAGAUGGUGCGCGUGGCUGCGUCUUUGGCGGACCGUUCUACUCCCAGGGGAAGGCCCAUGCUGGGGAAUGGCGUGGGGGCUUGA
Molecule: ribosomal RNA, 741 nt
Filed under: Triticum aestivum (bread wheat)
Lineage: Eukaryota; Viridiplantae; Streptophyta; Magnoliopsida; Poales; Poaceae
Description: partial small subunit ribosomal RNA
Source: RNAcentral